RNAcentral lists this ribosomal RNA (1400 nucleotides) under Salmonella enterica subsp. enterica serovar Newport. RNAcentral describes it as "bacterial LSU rRNA". It matches the Rfam family "Bacterial large subunit ribosomal RNA", at positions 1 to 1348 of the family's 2925-position model. The record is from RNAcentral. RNAcentral also lists the same sequence under 1 other name. Lineage: Bacteria; Pseudomonadati; Pseudomonadota; Gammaproteobacteria; Enterobacterales; Enterobacteriaceae.
GGGUUGUGAGGUUAAGCGACUAAGCGUACACGGUGGAUGCCCUGGCAGUCAGAGGCGAUGAAGGGCGUGCUAAUCUGCGAUAAGCGCCGGUAAGGUGAUAUGAACCGUUAUAACCGGCGAUACCCGAAUGGGGAAACCCAGUGUGAUUCGUCACACUAUCAUUAACUGAAUCCAUAGGUUAAUGAGGCGAACCGGGGGAACUGAAACAUCUAAGUACCCCGAGGAAAAGAAAUCAACCGAGAUUCCCCCAGUAGCGGCGAGCGAACGGGGAGGAGCCCAGAGCCUGAAUCAGCAUGUGUGUUAGUGGAAGCGUCUGGAAAGGCGCGCGAUACAGGGUGACAGCCCCGUACACAAAAGCGCAUGUGCUGUGAGCUCGAUGAGUAGGGCGGGACACGUGAUAUCCUGUCUGAAUAUGGGGGGACCAUCCUCCAAGGCUAAAUACUCCUGACUGACCGAUAGUGAACCAGUACCGUGAGGGAAAGGCGAAAAGAACCCCGGCGAGGGGAGUGAAAAAGAACCUGAAACCGUGUACGUACAAGCAGUGGGAGCACAGGUUUACCUGUGUGACUGCGUACCUUUUGUAUAAUGGGUCAGCGACUUAUAUUCUGUAGCAAGGUUAACCGAAUAGGGGAGCCGGAGGGAAACCGAGUCUUAACCGGGCGUUAAGUUGCAGGGUAUAGACCCGAAACCCGGUGAUCUAGCCAUGGGCAGGUUGAAGGUUGGGUAACACUAACUGGAGGACCGAACCGACUAAUGUUGAAAAAUUAGCGGAUGACCUGUGGCUGGGGGUGAAAGGCCAAUCAAACCGGGAGAUAGCUGGUUCUCCCCGAAAGCUAUUUAGGUAGCGCCUCGUGAAUUCAUCUCCGGGGGUAGAGCACUGUUUCGGCUAGGGGGCCAUCCCGGCUUACCAACCCGAUGCAAACUGCGAAUACCGGAGAAUGUUAUCACGGGAGACACACGGCGGGUGCUAACGUCCGUCGUGAAGAGGGAAACAACCCAGACCGCCAGCUAAGGUCCCAAAGUCAUGGUUAAGUGGGAAACGAUGUGGGAAGGCCCAGACAGCCAGGAUGUUGGCUUAGAAGCAGCCAUCAUUUAAAGAAAGCGUAAUAGCUCACUGGUCGAGUCGGCCUGCGCGGAAGAUGUAACGGGGCUAAACCAUGCACCGAAGCUGCGGCAGCGAACGUAUCACUUAAAGCGAUUCAGCGGGUUACGAUUGACGGAGCGAAGCGACGUCAAAGCGUAUACAAAGUCGAGUCGGUUUAAGGAUACGUUCGUUGGGUAGGGGAGCGUUCUGUAAGCCUGUGAAGGUGUGUCGUGAGGCAUGCUGGAGGUAUCAGAAGUGCGAAUGCUGACAUAAGUAACGAUAAAGCGGGUGAAAAGCCCGCUCGCCGGAAGACCAA